Molecule: transfer RNA, 87 nt
Filed under: Pseudomonadota bacterium
Lineage: Bacteria; Pseudomonadati; Pseudomonadota
Also listed under: 2 other names
Description: Proteobacteria bacterium (wastewater metagenome) tRNA-Leu
Rfam family: tRNA
About the family: Transfer RNA (tRNA) molecules are approximately 80 nucleotides in length. Their secondary structure includes four short double-helical elements and three loops (D, anti-codon, and T loops).
Source: RNAcentral
GCCCUUGUGGCGGAAUUGGUAGACGCGGCAGACUCAAAAUCUGUUGUUUGUAGAAACGUGGGAGUUCGAGUCUCCCCGAGGGCACCA